UCAGUGGUGAUGGCAUGUCAUUUGGUAUUAUUACACUGUCAAAGCUUAAUUUAUUGCAAUCGAUUUCCCAAUCGUUUUUCAACAGUACUUCACCAAGAAUCUCGUAAAGUCAUAACACUAGAUGGUGAGUGGUGGAGGAGGGUUUGCACAUGAAAGAGGAGGAAAAUAGCACAUAGAAAUCUGAUAUUUACUGCUGCUAUUCUUGCUUCUUUGUUGCAACCAUUGGAUUAUAGUAUUUGUUUUCAGUUUGUUCUUGUGAUUUUCAUUGGUGGGUUCUUUCAGAAUUCUUGGGAUUUUGGCUUUCUAAACUGUAAUGAUCUUAGAAGCUGGAAAAGACAAG
This 340-nucleotide long non-coding RNA is filed under the name Durio zibethinus. RNAcentral describes it as "long non-coding RNA (DZIB_LNC001436)". Lineage: Eukaryota; Viridiplantae; Streptophyta; Magnoliopsida; Malvales; Malvaceae. The record is from RNAcentral.